This 431-nucleotide ribosomal RNA is filed under the name uncultured bacterium. RNAcentral describes it as "bacterial SSU rRNA". It matches the Rfam family "Bacterial small subunit ribosomal RNA", at positions 49 to 477 of the family's 1533-position model. The record is from RNAcentral.
UUACACAUGCAAGUCGAACGGUAGGGGGAGCAAUCCCCUGAGAGUGGCGAACGGGUGAUUAAUGCAUCGGAACGUGCCCAGUCGUGGGGGAUAACGUAGCGAAAGCUACGCUAAUACCGCAUACGACCUGAGGGUGAAAGCGGGGGACCUGCAAGGGCCUCGCGCGAUUGGAGCGGCCGAUGUCAGAUUAGGUAGUUGGUGGGGUAAAAGCCUACCAAGCCUGCGAUCUGUAGCUGGUCUGAGAGGACGACCAGCCACACUGGGACUGAGACACGGCCCAGACUCCUACGGGAGGCAGCAGUGGGGAAUUUUGGACAAUGGGCGCAAGCCUGAUCCAGCCAUGCCGCGUGCGGGAAGAAGGCCUUCGGGUUGUAAACCGCUUUUGUCAGGGAAGAAAUCCUUUGGGCUAAUACCCUGGAGGGAUGACGGUA